RNAcentral lists this ribosomal RNA (329 nucleotides) under uncultured bacterium. RNAcentral describes it as "bacterial SSU rRNA". It matches the Rfam family "Bacterial small subunit ribosomal RNA", at positions 568 to 898 of the family's 1533-position model. The record is from RNAcentral.
CGUGUAGGCGGCGCGGUAAGUUGGGCGUGAAAUCCCCGAGCUUAACUCGGGUGGGCCGUUCAAGACUGCCGUGCUAGGGUGCGGGAGAGGGAAGUGGAAUUUCCGGUGUAGCGGUGAAAUGCGUAGAUAUCGGGAGGAACACCUGCGGCGAAGGCGGCUUCCUGGACCGUAACCGACGCUGAGGCGCGAAAGCUAGGGGAGCAAACAGGAUUAAGAUACCCUGGUAGUCCUAGCCCUAAACGAUGAGCACUGGGUGUGGCCCCUCACGGGGCCGUGCCGAAGCUAACGCAUUAAGUGCUCCGCCUGGGGAGUACGGUCGCAAGGCUGAA